GAUGAGGGGCACCGGCAACACCUAUAGAUAGCACACGAAGGUAAGCAAACAAAGCUUUCUCCUCUAGAUCUCCACGACUUACAUUGGCGCGCAGGCAGCCAAAGAAGGCCUCGAUGAAUUCCAGGCCGGGGUUGUAGAGGAGAAGCACUCGGUCCCCGUCAUGGAGCGUGACCUUGUGGGUGACGAGAUUGUGGGCGAUGGUGUUGGCGUUGUUGUGGAGCUGAGCGUAAGUCCUGGAGCCUGAUUCGUCACCCUUGUCGUCCAGCCAGGUGUAGAGGACCUUGUCCCUCGCCACGCUGUGCUUGGCAUAGAAGUGGAGGUAAGAAUCCAGGCAUGGAAG
This 340-nucleotide long non-coding RNA is filed under the name Selaginella moellendorffii. Its description in RNAcentral is "long non-coding RNA (SMOE_LNC001224)". Lineage: Eukaryota; Viridiplantae; Streptophyta; Lycopodiopsida; Selaginellales; Selaginellaceae. The record is from RNAcentral.